RNAcentral lists this ribosomal RNA (216 nucleotides) under uncultured bacterium. RNAcentral's name for it is "partial 16S ribosomal RNA". It matches the Rfam family "Bacterial small subunit ribosomal RNA", at positions 118 to 334 of the family's 1533-position model. The record is from RNAcentral.
CGGAUAACCUGCCUCACACAGGGGAGUAACAGUUAGAAAAGACUGCUAAUACCGCAUAAGCGCACGGCAUCGCAUGAUGCAGUGUGAAAAACUCCGGUGGUGUGAGAUGGAUCCGCGUCUGAUUAGCUAGUUGGCGAGGUAACGGCCCACCAAGGCGACGAUCAGUAGCCGACCUGAGAGGGUGAUCGGCCACAUUGGGACUGAGACACGGCCCAA